This 254-nucleotide ribosomal RNA is filed under the name uncultured bacterium. Its description in RNAcentral is "partial 16S ribosomal RNA". It matches the Rfam family "Bacterial small subunit ribosomal RNA", at positions 524 to 776 of the family's 1533-position model. The record is from RNAcentral.
UACAGAGGGUGCAAGCGUUGUUCGGAAUUAUUGGGCGUAAAGCGCGUGUAGGCGGCUUUGUAAGUCGGGUGUGAAAUCCCUCAGCUCAACUGAGGAAGUGCGCCCGAAACUGCAGAGCUUGAGUACCGGAGAGGAUGGUGGAAUUCCCCAAGUAGAGGUGAAAUUCGUAGAUAUGGGUGAGGAACACCAGUGGCGAAGGCGACCAUCUGGACGGAUACUGACGCUGAGACGCGAAAGCGUGGGUAGCAAACAGG